Molecule: unclassified non-coding RNA, 698 nt
Filed under: Trichophyton mentagrophytes
Lineage: Eukaryota; Fungi; Ascomycota; Eurotiomycetes; Onygenales; Arthrodermataceae
Description: sequence contains 18S rRNA gene, ITS1, 5.8S rRNA gene, ITS2, 28S rRNA gene
Rfam family: 5.8S ribosomal RNA (bases 302-455)
Source: RNAcentral
AGUCGUAACAAGGUUUCCGUAGGUGAACCUGCGGAAGGAUCAUUAACGCGCAGGCCGGAGGCUGGCCCCCCACGAUAGGGCCAAACGUCCGUCAGGGGUGAGCAGAUGUGCGCCGGCCGUACCGCCCCAUUCUUGUCUACCUUACUCGGUUGCCUCGGCGGGCCGCGCUCUCCCAGGAGAGCCGUUCGGCGAGCCUCUCUUUAGUGGCUAAACGCUGGACCGCGCCCGCCGGAGGACAGACGCAAAAAAAUUCUUUCAGAAGAGCUGUCAGUCUGAGCGUUAGCAAGCAAAAAUCAGUUAAAACUUUCAACAACGGAUCUCUUGGUUCCGGCAUCGAUGAAGAACGCAGCGAAAUGCGAUAAGUAAUGUGAAUUGCAGAAUUCCGUGAAUCAUCGAAUCUUUGAACGCACAUUGCGCCCCCUGGCAUUCCGGGGGGCAUGCCUGUUCGAGCGUCAUUUCAGCCCCUCAAGCCCGGCUUGUGUGAUGGACGACCGUCCGGCGCCCCCGUCUUUGGGGGUGCGGGACGCGCCCGAAAAGCAGUGGCCAGGCCGCGAUUCCGGCUUCCUAGGCGAAUGGGCAACAAACCAGCGCCUCCAGGACCGGCCGCCCUGGCCUCAAAAUCUGUUUUAUACUUAUCAGGUUGACCUCGGAUCAGGUAGGGAUACCCGCUGAACUUAAGCAUAUCAAUAAGCGGAGGA